Molecule: long non-coding RNA, 1232 nt
Filed under: Pan troglodytes (chimpanzee)
Lineage: Eukaryota; Metazoa; Chordata; Mammalia; Primates; Hominidae
Description: long non-coding RNA NONPTRT012745
Source: RNAcentral
ACAGGUUGCACUGGAUUUUUUUUUAAUGGCACAUUUUUAAAACUACUGCUCAUUUUAUGCUUGAUAUAGAUUUGGCGUUUACCUUUUCCUAACAUAUAGGCAAGCAGUAGUUAUUGCUUUGUUGGUAAAAGUUGGCGUUAUUUCUGAAAAGCAUACGUGGGAAUGGCAAACUGUAGAAGCUGUGGCCACCGGACUCCAGAUAUUAGAGAUGAUAUUUCUGAACAAGUAAGGCAUGUUGGACGGACAGUCAGGGGACAUCCCAGGAAAAAACUGUUUCCCGAGGAUCAAGAUCAAAAUGAACAUACAAGUUUAUUAUCAUCAUCAUCACAAGAUGCAAUUUCCAUUGCUUCUUCUAUGCCACCUUCACCCAUGGGUCACUACCAAGGGUUUGGACACACUGUGACUCCCCAGACUACACCUACCACAGCUAAGAUAUCUGAUGAAAUCCUUAGUGAUACUAUAGGAGAGAAAAAAGAACCUUCAGAUAAAUCCGUUGAUUCCUGAACAGUAUGGAAAAGCAAACUGUGCAACUACUACAUUAUAUCAUUACCUGGUAUCCCAUGGAUUUUGUGCUUGGGACAGACCAUAAAUGAUGGAAAAUGUCAACACAAAAAUAGCUGAAAGCCAGGUACAACUACUGCAUUUAUAUAUGUAAGUUUUGUAUAUCAAAAAUAAUUGGUCUAAAUUUCCUAGACUUAGACUUGAUUUCUUAACAUUAGGGUAUCACAUACUCAAAUGGUAGACAAUGACCCCAACUAAAUCUUCCUGAUGUUACACUGCUUUAUCAAGAGGAUGGACUUUUUUUUUUUUUUGAGACAGACAGAGUCUUGCUCUGUCACCCAGGCUGGAGUGCAGUGGCGCAAUCUCGGGUCACUGCAAGCUCUGCCUCCCAAGUAGCUGGGACUACAGGCACCUGCCACCAUGCCCAGCUAAUUUUUUUUUUUAGUAGAGACAGGGUCUCACCAUGUUAGCCAGGAUGGUCUUGAUCUGACCUCGUGAUCCGCCCACCUCGGCCUCCCAAAGUGCUGGAAUUACAGGCGUGAGCCACUGCGCCUGGCCAAGAAUGGACAUUUUUUAAAAAAACAUCAGUACUUCCUACCACUGCUGCAUGAGUAUAAUGCUCCGGAAUUAUCAGAAAGCAUAAUGCAGAAAUACGAAUUAGUGGAACUUAAUCAUGUGCCAUAUAAGCUUACCUAACAAACAAACAAACAGUUAUAUCCCUAUUCCUCAAC